AUUGAACGCUGGCGGCAUGCCUUACACAUGCAAGUCGAACGGCAGCGGGGACUUCGGUCCGCCGGCGAGUGGCGAACGGGUGAGUAAAGCAUCGGAACGUGCCCUGAAGUGGGGGAUAACGUAGCGAAAGUUACGCUAAUACCGCAUAUUCUGUGAGCAGGAAAGCAGGGGAUCUUCGGACCUUGUGCUUUAGGAGCGGCCGAUGUCGGAUUAGCUAGUUGGUGAGGUAAAGGCUCACCAAGGCGACGAUCCGUAGCGGGUCUGAGAGGAUGAUCCGCCACACUGGGACUGAGACACGGCCCAGACUCCUACGGGAGGCAGCAGUGGGGAAUUUUGGACAAUGGGCGCAAGCCUGAUCCAGCCAUGCCGCGUGAGUGAAGAAGGCCUUCGGGUUGUAAGCUCUUUCGGCGGGAAGGAAAUGGCGCUUUCUAAUACAGAGCGUUGAUGACGGUACCCGCGAUAAGAAGCACCGGCUAACUACGUGCCAGCAGACCCGG
This 497-nucleotide ribosomal RNA is filed under the name uncultured bacterium. RNAcentral describes it as "bacterial SSU rRNA". It matches the Rfam family "Bacterial small subunit ribosomal RNA", at positions 30 to 520 of the family's 1533-position model. The record is from RNAcentral.